AUUGAACGCUGGCGGAAUGCUUUACACAUGCAAGUCGAACGGCAGCACGGACUUCGGUCUGGUGGCGAGUGGCGAACGGGUGAGUAAUGUAUCGGAACGUGCCCAGUCGUGGGGGAUAACGUAGUGAAAAUUACGCUAAUACCGCAUACGAUCUAUGGAUGAAAGCGGGGGAUCGCAAGACCUCGCGCGAUUUGAGCGGCCGAUAUCAGAUUAGGUAGUUGGUGGGGUAAAGGCCCACCAAGCCAACGAUCUGUAGCUGGUCUGAGAGGACGACCAGCCACGCUGGAACGGCGACACGGUCCAGACUCCUACGGGAGGCAGCAGUGGGGAAUUUUGGACAAUGGGCGAAAGCCUGAUCCAGCCAUUCCGCGUGCAGGAUGAAGGCCCUCGGGUUGUAAACUGCUUUUGUACAGAACGAAAAGGUUUCUACUAAUACUAGGAGCUCAUGACGGUACUGUAAGAAUAAGCACCGGCUAACUACGUGCCAGCAGCCGCGGUAA
This 500-nucleotide ribosomal RNA is filed under the name uncultured bacterium. Its description in RNAcentral is "partial 16S ribosomal RNA". It matches the Rfam family "Bacterial small subunit ribosomal RNA", at positions 30 to 523 of the family's 1533-position model. The record is from RNAcentral.